UGGGGAAUUUUGGACAAUGGGCGAAAGCCUGAUCCAGCAAUGCCGCGUGUGUGAAGAAGGCCUUCGGGUUGUAAAGCACUUUUGUCCGGAAAGAAAUCCUUGGCUCUAAUACAGUCGGGGGAUGACGGUACCGAAAGAAUAAGCACCGGCUAACUACGUGCCAGCAGCCGCGGUAAUACGUAGGGUGCAAGCGUUAAUCGGAAUUACUGGGCGUAAAGCGUGCGCAGGCGGUUUGCUAAGACCGAUGUGAAAUCCCCGGGCUCAACCUGGGAACUGCAUUGGUGACUGGCAGGCUAGAGUAUGGCAGAGGGGGGUAGAAUUCCACGUGUAGCAGUGAAAUGCGUAGAGAUGUGGAGGAAUACCAAUGGCGAAGGCAGCCCCCUGGGCCAAUACUGACGCUCAUGCACGAAAAGCGUGGGGGAGCAAAACAGGAUUAGAUACCCUGGUAGUCCACGCCCUAAACGAUGUCAACUAGUUGUUGGGGAUUCAUUUCCUUAGUAACGUAGCUAACGCGUGAAGUUGACCGCCUGGGGAGUACGGUCG
This 543-nucleotide ribosomal RNA is filed under the name uncultured bacterium. RNAcentral's name for it is "partial 16S ribosomal RNA". It matches the Rfam family "Bacterial small subunit ribosomal RNA", at positions 355 to 888 of the family's 1533-position model. The record is from RNAcentral.